RNAcentral lists this ribosomal RNA (599 nucleotides) under Cortinarius alboviolaceus. Its description in RNAcentral is "eukaryotic LSU rRNA". It matches the Rfam family "Eukaryotic large subunit ribosomal RNA", at positions 1 to 598 of the family's 3401-position model. The record is from RNAcentral. Lineage: Eukaryota; Fungi; Basidiomycota; Agaricomycetes; Agaricales; Cortinariaceae.
GUGACCUCAAAUCAGGUAGGACUACCCGCUGAACUUAAGCAUAUCAAUAAGCGGAGGAAAAGAAACUAACAAGGAUUCCCCUAGUAACUGCGAGUGAAGCGGGAAAAGCUCAAAUUUAAAAUCUGGCGGUCUUUGGCUGUCCGAGUUGUAAUCUAGAGAAGUGUUAUCCGCGCUGGACCGUGUACAAGUCUCCUGGAAUGGAGCAUCAUAGAGGGUGAGAAUCCCGUCUUUGACAUGGACUACCAGGGCUUUGUGAUGCGCUCUCAAAGAGUCGAGUUGUUUGGGAAUGCAGCUCAAAAUGGGUGGUAAAUUCCAUCUAAAGCUAAAUAUUGGCGAGAGACCGAUAGCGAACAAGUACCGUGAGGGAAAGAUGAAAAGAACUUUGGAAAGAGAGUUAAACAGUACGUGAAAUUGCUGAAAGGGAAACGCUUGAAGUCAGUCGCGUCGUCCAGGGAUCAACCUUGCUUUUGCUUGGUGCACUUUCUGGUUCGAUGGGUCAGCAUCAAUUUUGACUGUUGGAAAAAGGUUGAGGGAAUGUGGCAUCUUUGGAUGUGUUUAUAGCCCUUGGUCACAUACAAUGGUUGGGAUUGAGGAACUCA